Molecule: ribosomal RNA, 808 nt
Filed under: uncultured Sphingobacteriia bacterium
Lineage: Bacteria; Pseudomonadati; Bacteroidota; Sphingobacteriia
Description: bacterial SSU rRNA
Rfam family: Bacterial small subunit ribosomal RNA
Source: RNAcentral
CGAGGGGCAGCGGGGGUAGCAAUACCCGCCGGCGACCGGCAAACGGGUGCGGAACACGUACGCAACCUUCCUUUAACUGGAGAAUAGCCCCGAGAAAUCGGGAUUAAUACUCCGUAACAUAAUGAUGAGGCAUCUCUUUAUUAUUAUAGGCUUCGGCCGGUUGAAGAUGGGCGUGCGCCUGAUUAGAUAGUUGGCGGGGUAACGGCCCACCAAGUCUGCGAUCAGUAACUGGUGUGAGAGCACGACCAGUCACACGGGCACUGAGACACGGGCCCGACUCCUACGGGAGGCAGCAGUAAGGAAUAUUGGUCAAUGGACGAAAGUCUGAACCAGCCAUGCCGCGUGGAGGAUUAAGGCCCUCUGGGUUGUAAACUCCUUUUAUCUGGGAAGAACUCCACGUUUUCUAAUGUGGUUGACGGUACCAGAGGAAUAAGCACCGGCUAACUCCGUGCCAGCAGCCGCGGUAAUACGGAGGGUGCAAGCGUUAUCCGGAUUCACUGGGUUUAAAGGGUGCGUAGGCGGGCAGGUAAGUCCGUGGUGAAAUCUCUGAGCUUAACUCAGAAACUGCCAUGGAUACUAUUUGUCUUGAAUAUUGUGGAGGUAAGCGGAAUAUGUCAUGUAGCGGUGAAAUGCUUAGAUAUGACAUAGAACACCAAUUGCGAAGGCAGCUUGCUACACAGUUAUUGACGCUGAGGCACGAAAGCGUGGGGAUCAAACAGGAUUAGAUACCCUGGUAGUCCACGCCCUAAACGAUGAUUACUCGACAUCAGCGAUACACUGUUGGUGUCUGAGCGAAAGCAUUAAGUAA